RNAcentral lists this ribosomal RNA (500 nucleotides) under uncultured Myrionecta. RNAcentral's name for it is "SSU rRNA". It matches the Rfam family "Eukaryotic small subunit ribosomal RNA", at positions 34 to 600 of the family's 1831-position model. Lineage: Eukaryota; Ciliophora; Litostomatea; Cyclotrichida; Mesodiniidae. The record is from RNAcentral.
CUGUCUAAGACUAGCCAUGCACGUCUAGUACAAACUAAAUGAUGGUGAAACUGCAAAUGGCUCAUUACAACGGUUAUGAUGUACCCGGGAGUUCCGAUGGAUAUUUCCAGUAACACUAGAACUAAUACAUGUCCCUGCGUUUAUUAGUUUCGCACAGUCCGUCGCUGAGUCAUGGUAAACAGUUGAUCGACUCGACGUCCCGGAACAGUUUCCGCCCCAUCAGCUUCGAUGGUUGGGUAUUGGCCCACCAUUGCAACAACGGGUAACGAGGAAUUAGGGUUUGAUUUCGGAGAGGGAGCCUGAGAAACGGCUACCACAUCUACGGAUGGCAGCAGGCGCGCAAAUUACCCAAUGCAGACACUGUGAGGUAGUGACGAGAAAUAAUAAAGCGGGACUUCUGUUUCGCUAUUAUAAUGAGGAAUAACCAAAGGUCAUUCCGAUUAGCAACUGAUGGGAAAGUCUGGUGCCAGCAGCCGCGGUAAUACCAGCGUCAGUAGCAU